UCGAGCUAUCGUCGUUGGAACGUCGAUGUGGUUCGUGUAUGGGAAAAGAAGAAUAGAGAGUUGAAUAGAGUUCAAUCGACUACGUUAGUGUGCGUGCGUUAAUAUGUACAUAUUUGUAUGUGCCUUUCGUGUAUUUUCUGUGAUCUAGUUUCUUGAAAACGUGACACGACAUUCGGAGGAAACGCGUGAUGUUCCGAAAGUGAUUUUGAAAACUGAUGAUCUUCCUCUCCUAAAUCCUAGUCCUUUCCCUUCUUCCUAUAUUCAAUUAUCAUCAUCAAAAGUUUUCAUCAUUUAAGAAUCUUUUUCAACUUGCUCAAUUUAUAUACACCGACAAAAGAUUCCAAUCUUCAAAUUCAUAACGAUACCAAAGAGUAGAAGAUAGACCAUGCCAAUUAAAAGAUGGAUCUCACCGAGCUGUAUCAUUCUAUUUUGUUUCAUUGGCACGAUAUCAAACAUAUUCGGAAACCCGAUCCGAGAAAGGCAGAAACGAGAAGCGGAAAUUGCUACGACAAAUUGGACGAAACUAGCGGACGAAUGGCUAAAAGAGAGAGCAAAAGCCUCGGAAAAUUUUGAUGUUGCACUUUUACCCUUUAACAAUAGAUUUCGAAAAUUACCGCCAACCGCAGAUACUGUUGUUAUUAACCAAACGAAUACCGAGCAAUUAUCACGGUUUAAUUAUUCACGAAUGCUGUGGGAAAUGGAAAAAGUACAACCGAGCGGACACCUGUCAUUGUUUGUGGAUAAGGCACUAAAGUUACUCGAUUUGAGGAAAGUGAUGAUGGAAGUUGAAACUUCGGUAAUGUCGAAGGUUUCAUGUACGGCAUGCAAAGUCGGUGCUGGUUUACUUCAGAAUUAUAUAAAAAAUGGCAGAAGUGAUAAAGAAAUCAUGGCGAAUAUAUAUCAAUUUUGUGUCUCCCUUAAUAUACAAAGUUCACGGGUUUGUGAAGGUGUCACUUUGGUAUUUGGAGCUGAAGUGAUUUAUGUUUUAAAACAAGUUGAGAUGGGUCCAGCUCAAAUCUGCAGUUUUGUUAUUGGUGAUGCUUGUGAUGAUGCUUAUAAUCCUUUACAUGAAUGGGAAGUAGCUUUUCCACCUGUAAAAAAACCACCAGUGAAACCACCUGUACCACCACAAGAAAAUGCACCAACAUUUAAAGUUUUACAUCUCUCCGAUACACACUUUGAUCCUUAUUAUCAGGAAGGUGCAAACGCUGAUUGUAAUGAACCAUUAUGCUGCAGACUUACGAAUGGAGCUCCUUUAAUACAAUCAGCUGCAGCAGGUAGGUGGGGUGAUUACAGGAAGUGUGACACUCCAAAGAGAACUGUUGAUCAUAUGUUGAAACAUAUCGCUGAAACGCAUCCAGAUAUCGAUUAUAUAUUAUGGACUGGUGAUUUACCACCUCAUGAUGUAUGGAAUCAGACAAGAGAAGAAAAUCUUAAGGUUCUGCAUGAUACCGUUAUGCAAAUGAUUCAAAUGUUCCCAGGUGUACCUAUAUUUCCAGCAUUAGGAAACCAUGAAAGUGCACCAGUUAAUAGUUUUCCACCACCCUUCGUACCCGAAGAAAAUAGUAUAUCGUGGCUCUACGAUGCAUUAGAUAAACAUUGGAGACGUUGGUUACCUGCUGGCGUCUCACAUACGGUUCGAAGAGGGGCCUUUUAUUCGGUUUUAGUGCGGCCAGGAUUUCGAAUUCUCUCUGUGAAUAUGAAUUAUUGUAACAAUAAAAAUUGGUGGCUUUUAAUUAACAGUACCGAUCCAGUCAGUGAAUUGCAAUGGCUCGUCUAUGAACUACAAGGUGCUGAAAUGAACGGUGAAAAAGUACAUAUAAUUGGUCAUAUACCUCCUGGUCAUUCGGAUUGUCUUAAGGUUUGGUCCAGGAAUUAUUAUCAUAUAAUCAAUCGAUACGAAUCCACCAUCACGGCACAAUUUUUCGGACACACGCAUUAUGACGAGUUUCAAGUAUUCUACGAUACUCAAGAUCUUCGAAGAGCUUUAAGUAUAGCUUAUAUAGGACCUUCAGUCACACCUUAUUAUGAUCUUAAUCCGGGAUAUCGAAUAUAUUAUGUUGAUGGAGAUCAUCCAAAAACGACCAGGAUGGUCGUCGAUCAUGAGAGUUGGGUGAUGAAUUUAAAAGAAGCAAAUCUUUAUGAUUAUCCUAUCUGGAGUAAGAUGUACAGUGCCAGACAAGCAUAUCAAAUGGCAUCGCUCUUGCCGAAGGAUUGGGAUUCAUUGAUCGAUAAAAUGUCUAACGAACCUUCUCUUUUUGACAUUUAUUACAAACACUAUUAUAAGAAUUCUCCAGUACGACCGUCGUGUGACGACGAAUGUCGGAAACGUUUAUUGUGUGAUCUAAGAAGUGGGAGAAGCCAUGAUCGUAAAGCAUUAUGCCAAAGUAUCGAAUCAAGAAUCGACAAUGAAACGAGAACAGGAUGGAGAGCAUGGAUCUAUAGCGGUUUGGCAUUAUCACGUGUUUUUGCAUAUAGCUGCAUAGGUUUCUCAUGUUCGAGUAAUAGUUCAGGCUAGCAUAAAUAAGUAAAAAAAAUGUAUUAUAAAUCAAUAAGAUAUAUUACAUGUUUCUGCAUAGUUAAUUUUAUACAUAUAUAUAUUCAAAUGCUAUUUUUAUUUUUUUUAAUGAUCAUUUUUGAUGACGAUUUUCACUUUUUGGCACCUAACAUUUGUAAAUAGUUUUGUAAUUUAGAUAUAUUUAUUAAACUAUCUGGUGAUGGAUUGUAAUGUGGUGAUUGGUACAUACUAUCAUCGCGUAUUAUCUAUUUUUAUGAUGUCCGUCGUUAUGGCUAUUCCUAGAUUCGCAUACAAUCUACCCAAAUACGUUCUAGGUCUUGGAUAGAAGAAAUUUCAAGUGGUAUGUGUAGAACAAGAAAAAAGAGAUUCAAACUGUUGUGAUAAGUUAUCAAAGAGAGUCAAAGAAUACAAAGUUCGUGCUCCAAAAUAAAAAAAAAAAAAAGAAAGAACUGCAAAGGAAUAUGCAGAAAAGGUAGCGUCAAUUUUUGUGAGAACGAUAACUUUAAGAAUUCAUCAAAAUGAUAUUGGCUGAUCGGCCUAUCAUUUUGUAUUAAUUUUAAUUUUGUAUUAAUGUUAAUUUUAUAUUGUUGAUCAUCGAUCGACUAUAUAAAUUUUAAAAAGUUUAAAAUAUGUUUGAUUUUUUCGAUGAUUAUUUUAUUUAUUUAAUAAAACCACACAAAGAUUUAUUUUGCGACGAUAUGCGAACCUCUAAUUACCUCAAUUUUAAUUUAUUAUAAUAAUAAAUAAUGUAAAAGAAGUUAAAACAAAAACAAAAAAGAGGAUUGAAAAUGAUCGAGAAAGAAUUGUAAAUUAGUUGUUAAUAAUUCCUCAAGUAGUCAAAUAUAUACGUAACCAACGUGUAUCAUAUUGUGUUUAGAUAAUUUACUAUUCUAACGGUGUAAAGAGCGUAUCUAUAAUAUAUAUUCCUAUUAGGAGAAUCUUUAAUUUAUAAAUAGUUAAUAUUAAGCAAAUGUCUGAUUAUAGUAAUAAUUUAGUUUCGUUUGAACAAACGAGUAUUUACAAAAAAAAAGAUCGACUUGGCAUCAAUGCAUGUUACAUUGAUUAUUUAUUAUUGAAUAAAAGAAAUUAUUUUUUAUUACUGU
RNA transcript from Vespa velutina, 3621 nucleotides. It is a transcript of the gene named sphingomyelin phosphodiesterase, with no coding region annotated. The record is from RefSeq and is a predicted model, not a curated record. The transcript has 12 exons. Lineage: Eukaryota; Metazoa; Arthropoda; Insecta; Hymenoptera; Vespidae.